This 112-nucleotide non-coding RNA is filed under the name Gordonia sputi. RNAcentral's name for it is "Gordonia sp. Glycine sequence". It matches the Rfam family "Glycine riboswitch aptamer". From Rfam's summary of the family: This family represents the bacterial glycine riboswitch. Glycine riboswitches usually consist of two metabolite-binding aptamers domains with similar structures in tandem. The aptamers cooperatively bind glycine to regulate the expression of downstream genes. The record is from RNAcentral. Lineage: Bacteria; Bacillati; Actinomycetota; Actinomycetes; Mycobacteriales; Gordoniaceae.
CGCUGCACUGCGGGAGAGCGUCGCCGCCGGGACCCGCGUCCCGGUCGGGCGGCCGCCGAAGGAGCAACACCUCCUCGUCAAACUCUCAGGCACCCAGGACCGUGGUGUCGAC